Molecule: long non-coding RNA, 719 nt
Organism: Ostrea edulis (European flat oyster)
Lineage: Eukaryota; Metazoa; Mollusca; Bivalvia; Ostreida; Ostreidae
Exons: 3
Source: RefSeq, a predicted model, not a curated record
CCCAAUAUUUAGUGGGAAGUUCCCAGGUAUCAUCCGCUAGCGACAGUCUACUGGCAAAUCCAGACAUGCAUUGGAAGGAUGCUGAUGUGGAGGACACAGGGACACCUGAUCCAAGAACUGUGACAUUUCAUUCAGGGUGACAACCUGGCUUUCAGUUGAUAUGGGACCUUAUUAUUCGGAGAACUGCAGAUUUUAUGAAGCUGUCUUUGACAGAAGAUUUGGUUUUCUCCAUCUGUGUUGCCACCAACCAUUAUGCAGAGAUGGUCAUAUCUAGGGGGAAGGGUUGUCAUAUACUUCCCAAGGAAGUUUGCAGCCUCUCACUGAAGAGGAACUGUACAGAUUUUUGUGCAUUAUAUUAUACAUGCCUGCUGUGGAGUUCCAGUCGAUAGACAGAUAUUGGUCAACGCAUGCCCCUGUCGGAACAACUGAUUAUCAAGAAUUAUGUCUAGAAAUAGGUUUCAAGAGGUUGAAUAUAAGAACAUUUUUGUUAAAUAUGAUGCAAGUACAUUUAAAUCUAGUGAUUGAAAGUAAGUACUUGAACAUUCGUAUAUGUUGAACUUGGAGAGGAAAAAUGGUUAGUACUUUUUGAUAACAUUUGAUAAGGUGUUGUUGUCUAGCAACCAAAUAUAAUUGAAUAAAUUAUUUUAGAUUAACAAUAAUUGAAAGAUCUUUGUUUUAAUGUUGCAAUACUUAUUCUAUUUUAUGGAACAUAAUGGCAA